CGGGGUGCAGCAGGCGCGAAAACUUUACAAUGCUGGCAACAGCGAUAAGGGGACCUCGAGUGCCAGGUUACAAAUCUGGCUGUCGUGAUGCCUAAAAAGCAUUGCAUAGCAAGGGCCGGGCAAGACCGGUGCCAGCCGCCGCGGUAACACCGGCGGCUCGAGUGGUAACCGUUAUUAUUGGGUCUAAAGGGUCUGUAGCCGGCCGGAUAAGUCUCUUGGGAAAUCUGGCAGCUUAACUGUCAGGCUUUCAGGAGAUACUGUCUGGCUCGAGGCCGGGAGAGGUGAGAGGUACUUCAGGGGUAGGGGUGAAAUCUUGUAAUCCUUGAAGGACCACCAGUGGCGAAGGCGUCUCACCAGAACGGACCUGACGGCAAGGGACGAAAGCUAGGGGCACGAACCGGAUUAGAUACCCGGGUAGUCCUAGCCGUAAACGAUACUCGCUAGGUGUCGGCCACGGUGCGACCGUUGUCGGUGCCGUAGGGAAGCCGUGAAGCGAGCCACCUGGGAAGUACGGCCGCAAGGCUGAAACUUAAAGGAAUUGGC
RNAcentral lists this ribosomal RNA (543 nucleotides) under uncultured archaeon. Its description in RNAcentral is "bacterial SSU rRNA". It matches the Rfam family "Archaeal small subunit ribosomal RNA", at positions 326 to 869 of the family's 1478-position model. The record is from RNAcentral.